RNAcentral lists this ribosomal RNA (424 nucleotides) under uncultured bacterium. RNAcentral's name for it is "bacterial SSU rRNA". It matches the Rfam family "Bacterial small subunit ribosomal RNA", at positions 355 to 796 of the family's 1533-position model. The record is from RNAcentral.
UGGGGAAUAUUGGACAAUGGGCGAAAGCCUGAUCCAGCAAUGCCGCGUGAGUGAUGAAGGCCUUAGGGUUGUAAAGCUCUUUUACCCGGGAUGAUAAUGACAGUACCGGGAGAAUAAGCUCCGGCUAACUCCGUGCCAGCAGCCGCGGUAAUACGGAGGGAGCUAGCGUUGUUCGGAAUUACUGGGCGUAAAGCGCACGUAGGCGGUCAGCCAAGUCAGAGGUGAAAGCCCGGAGCUCAACUUCGGAACUGCCUUUGAAACUAGCUGACUAGAAUCUUGGAGAGGCGGGUGGAAUUCCGAGUGUAGAGGUGAAAUUCGUAGAUAUUCGGAAGAACACCAGUGGCGAAGGCGGCCCGCUGGACAAGUAUUGACGCUGAGGUGCGAAAGCGUGGGGAGCAAACAGGAUUAGAUACCCCCGUAGUCC